Molecule: ribosomal RNA, 118 nt
Filed under: Castor canadensis (American beaver)
Lineage: Eukaryota; Metazoa; Chordata; Mammalia; Rodentia; Castoridae
Source: RNAcentral
AUUUAUCCUCAUACCACCCUGAACAUGUCUGAUUUCAUCUGAUCUUGGAAGCUAAGCAGGGCUGGACCUGGUUAGUCCUUGAAUGAGAGAAUGUCUAAGACUGCAACUGGAAUCAGCU